UACGGAGGGUGCAAGCGUUGUCCGGAUUUAUUGGGUUUAAAGGGUGCGUAGGCGGCCGUUUAAGUCCGGGGUGAAAGCCCACUGCUCAACAGUGGAACUGCCCUGGAAACUGGACGGCUUGAGUACAGAUGAGGGCGGCGGAAUGGAUGGUGUAGCGGUGAAAUGCAUAGAUACCAUCCAGAACCCCGAUUGCGAAGGCAGCUGCCUAGACUGUAACUGACGCUGAGGCACGAAAGCGUGGGGAUCAAACAGG
This 253-nucleotide ribosomal RNA is filed under the name uncultured bacterium. Its description in RNAcentral is "partial 16S ribosomal RNA". It matches the Rfam family "Bacterial small subunit ribosomal RNA", at positions 524 to 776 of the family's 1533-position model. The record is from RNAcentral.